Molecule: ribosomal RNA, 253 nt
Filed under: uncultured bacterium
Lineage: Bacteria
Description: partial 16S ribosomal RNA
Rfam family: Bacterial small subunit ribosomal RNA
Source: RNAcentral
UACAGAGGUCCCAAGCGUUGUUCGGAUUUACUGGGCGUAAAGGGUGCGUAGGUGGCGAGGUAAGUUCGAUGUGAAAUCUCGGAGCUCAACUCCGAAAUGGCAUUGGAAACUACCUUGCUCGAGGGUUGGAGGGGGGACUGGAAUGCUUGGUGUAGCAGUGAAAUGCGUAGAUAUCAAGCGGAACAUCAGUGGCGAAGGCGAGUCCCUGGACAACUCCUGACACUGAGGCACGAAAGCUAGGGGAGCAAACAGG